This 157-nucleotide ribosomal RNA is filed under the name Chloridium humicola. Its description in RNAcentral is "Phialocephala humicola 5.8S ribosomal RNA". It matches the Rfam family "5.8S ribosomal RNA". Rfam says of the family: 5.8S ribosomal RNA (5.8S rRNA) is a component of the large subunit of the eukaryotic ribosome. Lineage: Eukaryota; Fungi; Ascomycota; Sordariomycetes; Chaetosphaeriales; Chaetosphaeriaceae. The record is from RNAcentral.
AAACUUUCAACAACGGAUCUCUUGGUUCUGGCAUCGAUGAAAAACGCAGCGAAAUGCGAUAAGUAAUGCGAAUUGCAGAAUUCCGUGAGUCAUCGAAUCUUUGAACGCACAUUGCGCCCGCCAGUAUUCUGGCGGGCAUGCCUGUUCGAGCGUCAUU